GGAGAAGGGGACGACAGAGGAUGAGAUGGCUGGAUGGCAUCACUGACUCAAUGGACCUCAGGACAGGCUGGCCCUGCCUCAGAAAAACUGCAAGCCCGCCCAGCCGGGUGGGGAUGGAGGAGGGAGAAGGGACAGCUCCAGCUGCGGCUACACAGAGCCCGGAAUCCAGAAAUUUCCUGACCCAUCCUAUUAUGUCUGGGUCAAAGUGCCAAAGAAGACACUUUAGGAGGUUCCACUGUUCCUGUUGUUUCUGAAGGCUGGGUCUGCAUCUAGGUGGGCGUCAUCUUCUGGUAAUAACUUUAUUAAAGAACUCCUGAUCUAUAUACCCCCCUAAGAAUAAUCAGCUCUAUAUAUUCCCUAACAAUAACAAGUACAUUUUCUUGUACCAUGCUGUCACAACAAAACCUACUCUAUUCCUGAAAAGUAGCUGCAAGUAGAAGGCCAUGGUCGGGGAACACAGAGCAGAAAAUAAGAGAACUGUAGAUGGAAGAUGCCUGAGGGACCCACAGGAAUCUGAAAGAACCGAGAGAAACGGACCAGAGGUGCCCAAAUGACUCAUCCAGGGCCUCUGAUAGAGGAAGUGGAAUUUUCAAAGUCUGCCCACUGCUCUCUUACGCUUCGAAUCCCCAGGAAAACUUGACCUUUGCUGGCUGACUCACUGGCUUCCUCAUCGGUUUCUCAUCAUCAGUCAAGAUUUUUACAUAGCCUGUGACAUUUAGAAAGCCUUCCUCCUGACACGCACCCCUCCCCGUUUAGAAUGUGGUCCUGGGCAGACUCAUAAUUGCUCUUUGAAACGUUUAAACUGAGCUCAUGAUUUAGAAUGCGUGGACAGAAUACCGUCUUUCAAGAGCCAGGAGCUAUGGGAGUCUAGCCGCCAUGGGAUCAUGGGGAAGAGGAGAAAACGAAGGAAGGACCUGGGGCCAAAUAGCCACCGGUGGGAGUCACAGUGGUGGGGAGGGCUGGCCUCGCUUUGUCACACCGUUGGCCCACAUCACAGGUCAGGGCCGGAAGGGAAGUGCCAGUUGCAAAUGCUCCCACCUCAUCUCACAGCUCACCAAAUAUUAUGGCCUAGCACAUAAAAACCAGAAUGCUAAGCUGCCAGGAGUGUUAAACUCAAGGAGCUGUGACCAGAAGCAGGCAGGCUCAGGGGACGGGAGUAGGGAGGCGGCUGUAGCGGGCCAGCGGCUCCCAUUAAGCCCCAUGGCUCUCAGGCAGCAACUGAAACCAAGCAGGAAACUCAGCCCUUGCCCGGAAAGCCAGCUCUACCUCCUACCUCUCCACGGUGAGAGCAUCAAGGGGAGUCCCAGGCCUCCCAAGCAGA
Long non-coding RNA from Bubalus bubalis (water buffalo), 1321 nucleotides. RefSeq lists it as uncharacterized. The transcript has 3 exons. NCBI's taxonomy places the organism in Eukaryota, Metazoa, Chordata, Mammalia, Artiodactyla, Bovidae. The record is from RefSeq and is a predicted model, not a curated record.